CAUCUGUCAUUACACAAUAAUUUAUCAGUAAAGGGCAGGGCGCAGUCGUCUGUGUGUUGUGAUAAAAUUGAAGAACGAAAGUAAAAAGCUUUAAAAUGGGAAACUACUUUACAAGCAAUUUGGAAGAAAAGAUGAGAAAAAAUCAAGAAACCAUGCACGCCAUUAAUAUGGAACGGCAAAUUCAGCUGCAAUAUCAAAUGCAAGAAAGGUUAAUGGCGAUGCAGAUUGCAAGGAGUAGAGACACCUGCCUGUGGUUCACAACAUUCUAUGUUACAGCAGCAACAGGCCUAAUCACUGGUUUCAGAAGGACAAAAAGGCCAUAUCUUUUAGUGCCGAUGAUACCUCUCACUUUUGUGACUCUUUACUAUUGGGAUCUUGCUUAUGGAAACAAAGUCCACAGGAUCAGAAUGGAAGCCGAACACAUAAUGACACACGAAGCGGACUACCUCGAGUAUCCUUGCGGUCUUCCGACGCCUUCUUCCAUCGAUCUCGGACGUUUUGACGUCGAAGAAAAGAAGAAAAUACAUCCUCCCCUAUUGUAAAGAUGAUGCUUUAAGAACUACGUGUGCCUUCACCGCAAAGUAGAUCAAAAUAGCGGGUAGUUUAGACCUUCAUCUUUUGAAAAAACUGCAUUAGUCUUGGCGAAAAUUGAACAUUUUACAAAUCUAGUUGUAAGAGAAGGUUCAUACCUGACGGAAAGUGCGUCGAGGGUAUCGUAAAUGUAUGAUCAACGCAUCAUCGGUUAAGUGUGAACGAUUGAAUGUUUUAUCGUAUAUUUGUCUGUAUUGGUAUUACGCGACUCAUGUUCCGUCAGAUAUGAACCUUCCGAAUGUGAAUAAAAUCGUAUUGCAGCUUGGAGUUCUAAACCUUCAGUGACAAGGUCAGUACUUCUAAGGCUUCUUAUAAUAGACAGAGUUCAAAUGUACAAUUUGUAGCAGUACCAAAUUACACACUUUAAGCUCAUAAAUAAUGUCCUUUAAAGGUUAAAAAUUCCAAAUGUGUGUCUAGAGACAUGUAUGUUAAUAUUUAGUAGGUAGGUUCUUACUCCAUUUAAGUUUCAGUUUUACGACUGAAUAAGUAAGUGAGAGUAGGUAACCGCAGUAGGUUCUUACAUAAGAGACGAAUUCUUAUCGGAUUCAAUGUCAAACCAUUUGCUCGACAGUCAACGUCAGUCGUUAAGUUUUAGUGCUCUGUUGAGCACUUUUCAUGACGUUUUUAUUACCUACUAACGUUUUCGCCUAAGGGAAAUGCAGAUAUAGUGACAGCUAGAUUUUAGAGGCACAACUAUCAAAUUGAAAUUAAAAACGUAGUUAAUUCUAGAAGUCAAAAAUUAAAAUAAAAGUUACAGUUUUCUAUGGUAUAUUGUAACUAUUACAUUCUUAGCAAAUAUUAUGUAAUUUAAUCUAAGUUAGUUGAAAAAUUGGCGUACUUAAAUGGUGUACAUUAAAAUUUUAAAAUUAAUCAAAUUGCUACAAAUUGCGGCUGUCGUUCAAUCAAUGAAACUUCAAAAACGUUCUCUAAACGCGGUUCUUAUUAUAAAAAUCAAUAAAUAAUAAUCCUUAAAUCUUCCCUAUUUUUAAUAAAAAUUAAAAUAUUCUUCUCAAAUACUGUACUCCCAUUUGCUUCCUUGUAUGUAUGUUAUAUACUUACAGAGUAUUAUCAUCCGUUAAUAAUCUUUUCUACUUUAUUUUCUGUUACUGUAAGUAUUAAUUAAUUCUAUUCGUAAUCGUUGUAUUUAUAUUUCUUCUUCCGUGUUACUUCCGAUAUUGGCAGCAUGACAAAUGCCCUUUCUAAUAACCCGUCAAGGGGCGAACACAGAGAUCACGCUAUGCUACCUCACUGCGUUUAUAAAUAAGGCCUAACCGCCAAAUGUAAAUUUAGUUAAAUCUAACUUUAUUUCCAUACCUUAGGGUCGAAUGUUGGUUGUAGAUUUCUUGUAGAGUAUCUGAGAUAUUAUUUAUAUUUUGUUAAUAAUGUUUUUUUGAUUAGAUUACUUACGUGGGUCAGUUUUUAAAGGCUUACGAUUUUUUUUAUUGCAUUUACAAUAUUGUUCAUAUCUCGAUAAGAAUUAUGUUCUUUUUUAGAUUUUAUCUUACAUUUUAUCACGGUGUUAUGACUUAAAACUGCUAUAAUCGCAUUCUAAAAAAGUAUUAUGCAUUCAAUAAUUAUUGUCUAAGUAAAAAUGUCGAAGUAUUUUAAGACAAUUCCUAGAUUAAAGAGAAAUGUUUAUUGACAGAAUUACUGUACUAAUGUUAAAUAAAAAUCAUUUUUAAAA
Helicoverpa zea (corn earworm) is the source of this 2275-nucleotide RNA transcript. It is a transcript of the gene named plasminogen receptor (KT), with no coding region annotated. NCBI's taxonomy places the organism in Eukaryota, Metazoa, Arthropoda, Insecta, Lepidoptera, Noctuidae. The record is from RefSeq and is a predicted model, not a curated record. The transcript is spliced from 5 exons.